AGCCCGGUCGUCUAGCGGUCAAGGAUAAGGGCCUCUGGAGCCUUGGACGAGAGUUCGAAUCUCUCCCGGGCUA
RNAcentral lists this transfer RNA (73 nucleotides) under Candidatus Bathyarchaeota archaeon. Its description in RNAcentral is "tRNA-Gln". It matches the Rfam family "tRNA". Rfam says of the family: Transfer RNA (tRNA) molecules are approximately 80 nucleotides in length. Their secondary structure includes four short double-helical elements and three loops (D, anti-codon, and T loops). The record is from RNAcentral. Lineage: Archaea; Thermoproteati; Candidatus Bathyarchaeota.